Podarcis muralis (Common wall lizard) is the source of this 976-nucleotide long non-coding RNA. RefSeq lists it as uncharacterized. The record is from RefSeq and is a predicted model, not a curated record. Lineage: Eukaryota; Metazoa; Chordata; Lepidosauria; Squamata; Lacertidae.
UGCCAAAGUGGGUCUUUGACCCAGGUGAAAUAAAGACUAGUUUCGCCCCUGCUUUGAGCACUGAGUUGAAACAGGAGUGUCACUUUUCCAACUUCUUCCUUCAUUCUUAUGUAUUUUCCAAGGAAAAGAAAAGUAACCACUCUCACCACCUUCAAGAGGACAGUGAGUGGUGAAGGGUGGGGUGGCAAUCGAAGAUAUUAUGGGUGCCAGGAGAAGAUAUCCAGGCUGCCUUUGCAGUCACAGGCACCAUGGUGGCAACCCCCGUUUGGAGUAUGCUCCCCGCAGAACAGCUUUAGGGUGAAAACUCUAGGAUACAGAAAUAACUGGUGCUGCAGCAAUUAAGAGAGGCUGUUCAAGAGGCAAUUAACAGUCUAUAUGUCACUAAUCUCCCAGAUGCUGUCAACAGGAAACAAUAUAAUGGGAUAACUAAAAGUGAACGAAAAGAAAGAUGAUAUAGGCAUUCUUUUAGAUUGUUUCCCAAGAAAAGCAUCCAUAAGUGCCCCCAAACUGUCAGUAUUUUGCGGGAGGGAUUCACACCAGAACUUCAGGUUCAUUCCAUGUCCUUAUAGAACUUUGGAGUGGCACAGAGGAAGGAUAUGCAAAAUCUCUGAAGCAGCAUUCCCUUAAAUCACUAUGGGAGCCAGCUGAGGCUCUUGACAGGCUCAAAAUAACUGGAGCUGACCAUGGUACUAGAAGCUGAAGAUACUACUGUUCAAGCAGAAACUUCAGUGGGUGCGGUGACAUUUAUGAAAUGAAUAUGCAGCAGAAAAGAGUGUGGAAUCCACUUAACCAUUCAGUGCUAAGAAACUGGUGUGCUGGGAUUUUUCAACUGAAUGAUGAUAAGGAAUGUUAAGGAGACAGGGCUGACAACGUCCUGGUAAACAGACAUGUAUCAUAUUGUGAUUCAUUAUCUCAAGAACGCCUAAUAGCUGUUUGCUACAAGCUAUACAGAGUACAAAAUUAAAUUGUUUUGAGA